RNAcentral lists this ribosomal RNA (1361 nucleotides) under uncultured bacterium. RNAcentral's name for it is "bacterial SSU rRNA". It matches the Rfam family "Bacterial small subunit ribosomal RNA", at positions 28 to 1381 of the family's 1533-position model. The record is from RNAcentral.
AUUGAACGCUUGCGGCAGGCCUAACACAUGCAAGUCGAGCGGUAGCACAGAGAGCUUGCUCUCGGGUGACGAGCGGCGGACGGGUGAGUAAUGUCUGGGAAACUGCCUGAUGGAGGGGGAUAACUACUGGAAACGGUAGCUAAUACCGCAUAACGUCGCAAGACCAAAGUGGGGGACCUUCGGGCCUCAUGCCAUCAGAUGUGCCCAGAUGGGAUUAGCUAGUAGGUGGGGUAACGGCUCACCUAGGCGACGAUCCCUAGCUGGUCUGAGAGGAUGACCAGCCACACUGGAACUGAGACACGGUCCAGACUCCUACGGGAGGCAGCAGUGGGGAAUAUUGCACAAUGGGCGCAAGCCUGAUGCAGCCAUGCCGCGUGUGUGAAGAAGGCCUUCGGGUUGUAAAGCACUUUCAGCGGGGAGGAAGGCGGUGAGGUUAAUAACCUCAUCGAUUGACGUUACCCGCAGAAGAAGCACCGGCUAACUCCGUGCCAGCAGCCGCGGUAAUACGGAGGGUGCAAGCGUUAAUCGGAAUUACUGGGCGUAAAGCGCACGCAGGCGGUCUGUCAAGUCGGAUGUGAAAUCCCCGGGCUCAACCUGGGAACUGCAUUCGAAACUGGCAGGCUAGAGUCUUGUAGAGGGGGGUAGAAUUCCAGGUGUAGCGGUGAAAUGCGUAGAGAUCUGGAGGAAUACCGGUGGCGAAGGCGGCCCCCUGGACAAAGACUGACGCUCAGGUGCGAAAGCGUGGGGAGCAAACAGGGUUAGAUACCCUGGUAGUCCACGCCGUAAACGAUGUCGAUUUGGAGGUUGUGCCCUUGAGGCGUGGCUUCCGGAGCUAACGCGUUAAAUCGACCGCCUGGGGAGUACGGCCGCAAGGUUAAAACUCAAAUGAAUUGACGGGGGCCCGCACAAGCGGUGGAGCAUGUGGUUUAAUUCGAUGCAACGCGAAGAACCUUACCUGGUCUUGACAUCCACAGAACUUUCCAGAGAUGGAUUGGUGCCUUCGGGAACUGUGAGACAGGUGCUGCAUGGCUGUCGUCAGCUCGUGUUGUGAAAUGUUGGGUUAAGUCCCGCAACGAGCGCAACCCUUAUCCUUUGUUGCCAGCGGUUAGGCCGGGAACUCAAAGGAGACUGCCAGUGAUAAACUGGAGGAAGGUGGGGAUGACGUCAAGUCAUCAUGGCCCUUACGACCAGGGCUACACACGUGCUACAAUGGCAUAUACAAAGAGAAGCGACCUCGCGAGAGCAAGCGGACCUCAUAAAGUAUGUCGUAGUCCGGAUUGGAGUCUGCAACUCGACUCCAUGAAGUCGGAAUCGCUAGUAAUCGUAGAUCAGAAUGCUACGGUGAAUACGUUCCCGGGCCU